AGAUUGAACACUGGCGGCAUGCCUUACACAUGCAAGUCGAACGGUAGAGUAGCAAUACUUGAGAGUGGCGAACGGGUGAGUAAUAUAUCGGAACGUGCCCAGUCGUGGGGGAUAACGUAGAGAAAUUUACGCUAAUACCGCAUACGAUCUAAGGAUGAAAGCGGGGGACCUAAGGCCUCGCGCGAUUGGAGCGGCUGAUACUCAGUAUUAGGGUUGUUGGUGAAGGUUAAAAGCUCACCAAGCCGACGAUCUGUAGCUGGUUGAGAGAACGACAGCCACACUGGGACUGAGACACGGCCCAGACUCCGUACGGGAGCAGCAGGUGGGUAAUUUUGGACUAAGUGGGACGAAAAGCCGUUAGACUCCGAGACGAAAUUCGGACCGUCGUAGG
RNAcentral lists this ribosomal RNA (391 nucleotides) under uncultured soil bacterium. Its description in RNAcentral is "bacterial SSU rRNA". It matches the Rfam family "Bacterial small subunit ribosomal RNA", at positions 26 to 400 of the family's 1533-position model. The record is from RNAcentral.